Nannospalax galili (Upper Galilee mountains blind mole rat) is the source of this 1340-nucleotide long non-coding RNA. RefSeq lists it as uncharacterized. The transcript is spliced from 3 exons. Lineage: Eukaryota; Metazoa; Chordata; Mammalia; Rodentia; Spalacidae. The record is from RefSeq and is a predicted model, not a curated record.
UUCUUUUGCUUUCUUUCUUUCUGCUGUCCCUUUGGUUACACUGAGCCAUCCCACAGCUGCCCAGAAACAUGUGUUUCUCAUCAGUGGCUUGGGAGCUACCUCAGAAGACUGCGGAGCAAAUGAGAUGGAGAGGGACCAGGAUAUGAGGGGGCCUGCAGCAGACCGACAGGAGCCUUGGAAAGGGAACUGACACUGAUUCUAACCACUCCAACAGCUAUCAAAAUACCUGAAAGCAAAUCCUGAAUCCAUCACUCUUGAGUCCAGCCUUGGAAGACUGUAGGAGGGGCCUGUGGGGAUCAGCCAGAAUACUGGACCUGGAGACUUCUGUGCAGGUGCAGCCAGUCUAACACGACCUACUUCCUCAAACUGCUAACCUUAUAUCUGCCGUCUGGGCUAGAGACAGAUGACGCAACCAUGCCAAUAGACAUUAUACAGAUCAACCCUCAGGGCCAAUGGGGGAGGUUUGGGGGUAUAUAGGAAAGCCCUUUGUACGGAAUAAACGAGCUUGCUGGCAGCCCGCUACUGAGCAGCAUCUCCCAAAGUCUGUGUCGUUGAUUUCGCACCUACUCAUCCCCUGCACCCCGCCAAGACGGAAGUCCGACCACCGCGAAACACAGCAACAUCUGGCACCCAACGUGGAUUCCGGACCUGCUCGCUUCUCACGUCGGCCACAACUGGCCCGCUUCGGCUGUUUUCUUGGUGCCUGCUGUCACACAUUUGUUGCCAACGGACCAUCAGUAAGAUGACUCUCCAGGCCCUCUUCGCCCUACGACAUCCAGGCCUGGGCCUUCCUCAAGAGGUCAUAGAGACCUGGCUAACUGAGAUACAAAAGGCCUCCUCCUAAACUAGCCCUCCACCCUGGCAGACCCCCUGAGACUAUACCUCCCUCAGGGUUGGUAGACAAUGACGGGUAAGAUUCUACAGGGACAAGUCAACCUAAGACAUGCGUGAGCUAGAUGUGUGCUCCCGUGACGGGUAAGGCUUAUGCCCGGAGUAAGAACAACCUAAGACAGUCACAACCCGUAUUCUCAAGGUCAUCUCGAGGCGGGUACGAAAAUGUCAGGCAGCACCCUGACUCCCUCUGGGCUGCCUUUAAAAACAAAAGGGUGGAAAUGUAGGAGGGGCCUGUGGGGAUCGGCCAGAAUACCGGACCUGGAGACUUCUGUGCAGGCACACCAGUCUAACACGACCUACUUCCUCAAACAGCUAACCUGAUAUCUGCCGCCCAGGCUAGAGACAGAUGUCAUGCCAAUAGACAAUAUACAGCUCAACCCUCAGGGCCAAUGGGGGAGGUUUGAGGGGGUAUAUAGGAAAGCCCUUUGUACGCAAUAAAUGAGCUC